This 1169-nucleotide long non-coding RNA is filed under the name Marmota monax (woodchuck). The record is from RNAcentral. Lineage: Eukaryota; Metazoa; Chordata; Mammalia; Rodentia; Sciuridae.
GCUGGGCACAAUCAGGAGCCACUUGUCAAAAGAAACUAACUUUAUUUUUAGAACCACACACGCCAAACAAAACAGCCUCUCAGGAAAAACCCUCAGAGCCUCAACUGCCACCACCGGCUUUCCACAAGCCUCUCUCUCCCCCACAAGCUUCUCUCCACCUCCCACAAUCCUCCUGCUCUUGAGGCCGAUUGGCUGGGUCACAUGGGCGGAGCCAAAAAAGUCCCCCAAUGAGCAGCUCCGUGGUCUGAAAGGGCAGGGAAACAGCCCAAUGAGCAUCACCGCAGAGGAGCCAAUCAGCUAGAUGUUGCUGGGGCCGCUGUGAGCCAAUCAUCAGCCGGCAGCUGGAAGUUUGCUGGGGCUCCUUCGCUGUGGCUCUCAACACCUAGGCUGAGGAAAGUGUGUUAUGGGUUGAUCAAGGUAGUGUGGCAGCAGUAGAAAAACAACCACAAGCAUCAUCCUAGUAUAGUUUAGAUUAAGAGUUUUCAAAACAGGUUAAAUAUUUAUCAGUAUGGAAAUGGUUAUUGAAAUUACAAGGUCAUGCUAUAUAGCCAUUUAAGAAAAUGUUCUAAAUGAAGUAUUGUUGACAGAAAGAUUAAAAAGGAAUUCUUUUAAAUGUUGUGUUUUCCAUGAUUGAAUUUUCGUAAAAACAGAACGAAUAUGCACAUAAAAGCAUUUGGGAAUUGUAUAGUUGUAAACCCUUAACCAAGAUUCCAAUAGUAACUAAGGACAAGAUAGCAAUAUGACAGGGAAAAACAUCUAGAUGAGGUGUUAUUUGUUGGUAACAUGGCUCAAAAGGCCACUCUGCUAAUGCUAAUGAACUUCAACAUGGAAAGCCAGCCAUGUUGAAGGCCAGAUCAUCAGAGGAAUUGAAGAAGCAGAUGAAGACCAGGGGGAGGCACGGGAGACACAUUGUGCUUCUAAAGGUUAUGGGUGAAGCUAGAUUAUUUUUUUCAAUGAUUGCCAAAAAAAAAAAAAAGAAAGAAAGAAAGAAAGAAAAAGCUAUUUGCCAAGCUGGCACUGGUGUCAGAUGAACAGAGGGUCUCUCCAUUCUGUUAUUUCCCUGGCAGUUGAAACAUCCUCUGGCUCAGCUGUUUAAUGUGUAAAUUUAGUGCCCCAUGGGACAUUCUCCAUAAGGCAGCAGCUACCCAAGUAUAAUAAAUUCAGUGUCA